Molecule: long non-coding RNA, 223 nt
Organism: Sinocyclocheilus rhinocerous
Lineage: Eukaryota; Metazoa; Chordata; Actinopteri; Cypriniformes; Cyprinidae
Exons: 3
Source: RefSeq, a predicted model, not a curated record
GUGUAUCUGAAAGAGGUUCCCAAAGGCGUCCCCAUGACUUAUAGUCUGCUGCUGAAACCGAUUCUUACAGUGAAAAAUCUCAAGCCAGCGGUCAUCAGUGUUUAUGACUACUAUGAGCCAAGUGAUUCGUUUGAGACCACCUACAUGUCUCCGUGUCCCGGUCCAUGAUUUCAGUGCUGGUUACAGGAUACAUGACUUGAAUAAAACUGCUUUUAUGCAAUCA